GAUGAAGAACGCAGCAAAAUGCGAUAAGUAAUGUGAAUUGCAGAAUUCAGUGAAUCAUCGAAUCUUUGAACGCACAUUGCGCCCGCCAGUAUUCUGGCGGGCAUGCCUGUUCGAGCGUCAUUUCAACCCUCAAGCACAGCUUGGUGUUGGGACUCGCGUUAAUUCGCGUUCCCCAAAUUGAUUGGCGGUCACGUCGAGCUUCCAUAGCGUAGUAGUAAAACCCUCGUUACUGGUAAUCGUCGCGGCCACGCCGUUAAACCCCAACUUCUGAAUGUUGACCUCGGAUCAGGUAGGAAUACCAGCUGAACUUAAGCAUAUCAAUAAGCGGAGGA
This 332-nucleotide unclassified non-coding RNA is filed under the name soil metagenome. RNAcentral's name for it is "partial contains 5.8S ribosomal RNA, internal transcribed spacer 2, and large subunit ribosomal RNA". The stretch from base 1 to 120 matches the Rfam family "5.8S ribosomal RNA", at positions 35 to 154 of the family's 154-position model. The record is from RNAcentral.